UACGGAGGGCGCGAGCGUUAAUCGGAAUUACUGGGCGUAAAGCGCGCGUAGGCUGUUGUGUAAGUUGGGGGUGAAAUCCCACGGCUCAACCGUGGAACAGCCCUUGAUACUGCGCGACUUGAAUCCGGGAGAGGGUGGCGGAAUUCCAGGUGUAGGAGUGAAAUCCGUAGAUAUCUGGAGGAACAUCAGUGGCGAAGGCGGCCACCUGGACCGGUAUUGACGCUGAGGCGCGAAAGCGUGGGGAGCAACCAGG
RNAcentral lists this ribosomal RNA (253 nucleotides) under uncultured bacterium. Its description in RNAcentral is "partial 16S ribosomal RNA". It matches the Rfam family "Bacterial small subunit ribosomal RNA", at positions 524 to 776 of the family's 1533-position model. The record is from RNAcentral.